AGGAUGAACGCUGGCGGCGUGCCUAAUACAUGCAAGUCGAGCGGUAAGGCCACUUCGGUGGUACACGAGCGGCGGACGGCUGAGUAACACGUAGGAACGUACCCCAAAGUGAGGCAUAAGCACCAGAAAUGGUGUCUAAUACCGCAUGUGAUCUUCGGAUUAAAGCUUCGGCGCUUUGGGAACGGCCUGCGCAUGAUUAGCUUGUUGGUGAGGUAAUAGCUCACCAAGGCGACGAUCAUUAGCUGGUCUGAGAGGAUGACCAGCCAGACUGGGACUGAGAACGGCCCAGACUCCUACGGGAGGCAGCAGUAGGGAAUUUUCCACAAUGGGCGAAAGCCUGAUGGAGCAACGCCGCGUGCAGGAUGAAUGCCUUCGGGUUGUAACUGCUUUUAUCUGUGAAGAUUAUGACGGUAGCAGAUGAAUAAGGAUCGGCUAACGUACGCGCCAGCAGCCGCGGU
This 458-nucleotide ribosomal RNA is filed under the name uncultured bacterium. RNAcentral's name for it is "SSU rRNA". It matches the Rfam family "Bacterial small subunit ribosomal RNA", at positions 26 to 521 of the family's 1533-position model. The record is from RNAcentral.